UCUAUUUCCAAAAUAUACAGUUGAAUGCUUAAUGACUGAUUUAACAUGGGAGCUCCAAGACCUGUAUGGAUGUUGAAUGCCACCAUAUGGGAAACAAAGCUUUCUUGUUUAGCAUCAGUAGCUCACUGUAUUAAAAAUGGUCAGCGAUCUGGUUCUUUCAAUGCACUAAAGUUCCAAAGCCCCAUUGAUUCAUGGUCAGGGCAGGGCAGCUCUCUUAUGACUGCAGCUCAGCAAUGGCUAGUUUGUCCAAAAUGUACCACAGAUCUAACUGCAGUUGGAUUAGUGCAAAAUUAUACUCUUGAGUAAGAACAAUUUAACAUGUUAAAAGAUUACAUUCCUAGUUAAAAGAGACAUAAACUUGACAGAAAAAGGAUGCAUAAUAAAUAGGUUGAUUUAAGAAAACUACAGAUGAAUCAAUGGGGCUACAACAGAAACUUUUUAAGACAGCUGACACUACAUUCUUAAGUCCAUGCCUUUAACUCAGAUUUACACCUGUCCUCAAAUGUCAAAAUAUUGAGACUAGACAGCACUUUGACUAUAGGGGGAGCGCAGAAGGUUUAUGAAAGGAAGCUAUAGAUACAGCUAAAUUAAUGUCACAGUGCCCUGGCAUUUUCACUUCCAUAACAGGAAAGACUCAUGUAUAAACUAUACAGGAAUUAAUUUAAAAAUAAUUCAUAACAGACCUUUGUGACUGCAAAAGGACAAAAAAAAAUUCUUUUCACUGGGUUGGGUUCAUAAGACUUUUACACUUGCAAGGGAAAAUAAUCAGAGGCCAACUGUGAGAUAUCCUGUAUUUAUUCUAUAGUUCAUCAUCAACAGCAGUAAUUUUGCUGUUAUGAAAACACAAUACCCAGGCUGCAGUGAGAAAGAACAGCAAUAUAGACUUGAGCCUUCUGUUUAAAGAUAAGAGCAUUUGAAGUAAAUUCUAAUUACUUCGUAUAUGAAGGUUGCAAAACCUGAUAAACAAAAAGUCUUUUCUUUAAUACAUCUUAGUUGUUUGUUUCUUCCUGGACACCAACAGGACUAGGACUUGUUUUAAUACUGGUCCUUUUAGCUCCACUUUAAUAAAGCUUCUGCUGUGAUUGUUGCCAGAACAUCCUGCAAUGUAAGGGAUCACUAGCAUUAAAGAUGCAUUAAAGUCACAUCCCAUUAAACAUCAUGACUAGUUUUUACAUAUUGUGUAAAAUUGACAGCAAAACGAGAGAGCCGAAAGACAAGAGAGACUAAAAUGGGUGAGAUAAAAAUUCUCUUUGGAAGAGUUGGUAUUUCCAGUAGAGCGGCUUGCACCCUACGUGCUGUAUUCCAUAAGGAAUUCU
Molecule: non-coding RNA, 1316 nt
Organism: Chelonoidis abingdonii (Abingdon island giant tortoise)
Lineage: Eukaryota; Metazoa; Chordata; Testudines; Testudinidae
Source: RefSeq, a predicted model, not a curated record